RNAcentral lists this long non-coding RNA (421 nucleotides) under Zostera marina. RNAcentral's name for it is "long non-coding RNA (ZMAR_LNC003588)". The record is from RNAcentral. Lineage: Eukaryota; Viridiplantae; Streptophyta; Magnoliopsida; Alismatales; Zosteraceae.
CUCAAAUAGCAUAUUCGUUUAAGUGUGUAUGUCCAUAAUGAAUGACAAAACUCAUCUCCAAGUACAUUAGCCACAAAAUCUAUUUUAUCUCGAUCACAAAUAUUAUCUCCAGUUGAAGAAAGACAGUCAAUUAAAGCACGAAUCUUGAUAAUGAAACCUGUCAUCGACUCAGCAUCAGCUAGUCUUCUCAAGAUUACGAAAUUGAUCCCUAAUUGAUUGUGAAUUGUAAGACUUGCGAGGAGAUAGAUGUGUUUUCAACAAUCCGCAACAGUUUUGUGAUUCAUAACCAGAGAAAACAUGGAAGCGUCUACCGACGCUUGAAUCUACCCUGGCGGGUCUGGCUAAUCUGGACCCAGACCCGCCACCGGGUCCAAAAUAUUUAAUGAGGUUUAAAUUAGUCCCGAACUCAUUUACACCCCUA